This is a long non-coding RNA of Megalops cyprinoides (Indo-Pacific tarpon), 497 nucleotides long. RefSeq lists it as uncharacterized. The transcript has 3 exons. NCBI's taxonomy places the organism in Eukaryota, Metazoa, Chordata, Actinopteri, Elopiformes, Megalopidae. The record is from RefSeq and is a predicted model, not a curated record.
UGCAGCUGGUACACCCACUAUGUUGUGAAAUCAGAGGCAAUUCCCAGCAAGGCUGAAAGCAAGCGCCAUGGAUAAGAGUGCAUGAUGUGAGCGGAGCAGCAGUGAAGAGGAGUGGUUUCUCCCUGACCUUUGGCAGCACAAGCGAGCAGCAUGGCGGGAAUGACGUGGACGGACUCGGAUUCUGGCUCUGGACAGGAUGCACGAAGGAUCUUGGCAGCGACCCAGGCAACACAGACGGCAAGAAGGGAAGUGACUACAUCUCUUCACUGGUAACUGACUCUUCAGGAAACUGGCGGCGAAUGAGUGGACUGCGGAGGGGUCUGAGAAACUAGCGUCGCAGCCCGCGGCUGCUCAAUCGUGGCUGGGUCAGAGUGUACCACGGCGGAUUUCUCCUCUGCUCUCUUAUCUCCUGGCAGGGCGAGACACCAGAGCAAUUGCUCCUAUCUGGGAAUAAUUUACGAGGGUGAACAGGGCUGUGUCUGCCCGUACUUUUAUUG